Silurus meridionalis is the source of this 3414-nucleotide RNA transcript. RefSeq lists it as uncharacterized. The transcript has 3 exons. The record is from RefSeq and is a predicted model, not a curated record. NCBI's taxonomy places the organism in Eukaryota, Metazoa, Chordata, Actinopteri, Siluriformes, Siluridae.
GUCUCGGGCAGUGUGGAAUCCUGGCUGUGUUUAAUUGGCGAGUGGCAGGCGGGCUUGGGAGACAGAGCAGGAGUGUGGGAGAUCUAAGGAAGCAAUUGGGACUCACAUGGAGAGGCAACUGCUCUCACUAGCUUUACGAGCUGCGACUUUGACUUUCUAAAAUAGUGAAAGAGAUGGGGAAAGGAAGGAAGAAACUCAACAGAGAGGUGGAGAACCAGUGAGCUAGAGUUUGGGAGGGGGUGAAGAGACUCAGAGAAAUAUAAUAAUUUUUUACACAGUGAACACAGAAGGGUUAAGGAUAUGGAACGAAAGGAAGGGAGAGAUAGAGAAAGGAAAUGACAGAAGGAGCAACAAAGUGCAAACAGAAUGAAGGAUAGGUACAGGAAAGGGUACAAUGGAGUGAGAGAAUAGGGGGGGUAAAGAGAGAAAGAGGCCCACUGCUGGAGAGAGGGCAACAGCACUGACUGCAUACGGGAAAUGACAGAAGUUAAGGAGAGAGAGAGAGAGAAAGAGAAAAGAGAAAAGAGGGAAAACAAGGGGAACUUAAUAAAAAAAACCAGGAGGAAGGAAAGGGGGAGGUGAGUCUUGAAAGGCAAGAGAAAGAAGAAAGUUGUUGAGGAGAAGUUGAAAGAAACAGCAUGUGAGAAUGGGAAAGAGAAUGAGUAAAAGGGGAGAAAGACAGUAGAGGAGUGAAAGAAAAAGACCUACGCAGAUGAGAAAAACAGCUUUAGUGAAUGGACAGGGUGGGGAAAGAGAGAGGAGGUAACUGGUUGUUUUGUAAGUCGUCAGUCUUGGCAGCUUUUAGUCUCUUACUGCUAUGCACUCUGAGAAGCCGGCAAAAGGACAACGUGCUCUCCAUCCAGCCCAGGAGUACUGCCACCUUUGCCGACAAAAGAAACCAGCGCAUCACAGGCAGGAGCUAAGGGAUGGGCAAUCCCCACCUCUGGAGCCCAUUCUAAGGUCACAUGUGUGGAAGGAGUAUUUGCCUCUACCUUUUCCUGUUGAUUUGGAAACACUUGACGAUAGGGCGGGAAACCAUAAUCAUCAUGACCUGCAGAGACGGCAGGUCUGCUUGGGGCAAAGCCACUACACUCUGUCUGAGAGCUGCAGCCCACCAUGCUACAUGUGGAGAGAGAUGAGAGUACCUAGAUGGGACCCCUGGCUUCCUUCACCCACAUGUGUGUGGGAAAGAUCGGCACUGGCACAUUGUGGGCAGGAGGUUGCUGAUGGGCGAGUGGCAGACAGGCUUGGGAGACCGAGUGACUAUGGCUAUGGGAGGGAAUGGUAUCAUCAUGAGCCGCCACAUCCCCUCAACGGUGGCACCAUGCUGGCAAAGGUCAGGAGUCAGCGGUACUACAGGGAAGCUCGGAAUGUGUCAGAGGAGCAUCACUUGGACUGUGUGAGUGAGAAAUUUCACCAGAACAGACAAAUACCAGAGCUAGAAUGGGACCAUAGGCGUACAUUUGAAUACAAUGGCCACUGUGAAAGGAGGCAUGUUACUUUUGAGGAUCAUGAUGAUGGACACAGCAUAGAGUAUAAUGGAUCCACCAGUCCAAUUAAGAACCACUGUAAUGGAGCUAAGGCUUUUUUUUCAACUGAGGUUCCCCAGAGCAAAUUUACAGUCUCCAAGACAUCAGGACCUAAGCUGCCAGUCAGUGAAAUCUAUGGUGGAGAGACCAAAUUGGAUCAAGCCGACAGGUCAGAGGUUGGAGGGAGCUGGAGUGACCACAGGAAGAGCCAGGAAACAGUGCGUGAGCAGAUCAAACAAGUGGUGACUGAGUUAGAGGAUGUGCUCAGUGGUCUUAAACAGGUUCAAAUGGAGAUGAAAGAGGUGGUCCAACAGAUUGAUGUUCUGACUUCCAGCAUCGACCUGGGAGAGGAGGAGCAAGGACCAUUCAAUGGUCUGCCACAGGAAUCCAUGCACCAAGCGAACCGUAUUGGAGUUGUGGCGCUUGUUCAUAAUGCAAACAGAAAUGCAGAAUCAAUACAAAGUGUCCACAUGUGUGCUGGUGUCAAAUCACAGACCAGUCGUUCCCUGUCAGACCAUAGCUUGGCCCCUGUGAUCUCUUGCCCUGAGAGUCAUCCCACCACAAAAAUCCACACAAACCCAUCCUCCCGUGUUCAUGCUCCGAUGACUGUUGAGUCUGCAUACAGCAACCAGAUGAAUCAUACAUCUGUUCUGGAGAUUCAGAGGACAAAGGGCACUGCCAAUGGAGACUGCCUGCGAGCCAGACCUCCUAGAGCCAAAGUCAAAGAGCUCCAGCAUCAAAAAACCAAAACAGAUUAUACAAAGAAUCCCGACCCUCCUUAUCCUCUAGCACCAAUUAGCUUGGCUAAAACUCAAAGACCCCCACCAUACCCACAAAAUGGACUGGUCAAAGUACCCUCGAAAGAUUUAAAUGUCCUAAAGACACCUCCCUACCCUGGAAAACAGAAAGAGCUAAUCUCUACCAUGGUGUAAAGGUGGGGUGACAUGGGACAUUCCACUGGCUCAGAGCUCUGAUUGCACUCAUGAGAACAACACACACCCACACACAGUCACACAUAGAACGUAAAUAGGAUGUUUUUUUCCCCCUCUGCAUCCACAUGGUUAGGUAACACAGGUGACACCACAAAGAAGAGAUGCAUCAAACAGCAGUGCAAGGACAUCUAUUAGAACUGAGAGUAUUUCCCAUGGAAAGCACUAGAAAAUAGACUGUCUUGUCUUUCAUCCUACCUCCCCAUCUAUUCUAAUCCUAACUGCACUUCAUCCAUAAGAGAAUUCUGCCCUUUUUGCCAGAUGAAACUUUUUGCCCCUUAAAGGUAGCACUACAGAAGAAUAAAAUAAGUCUAGACUUCCGUCUUGGCUCCUAAAUAUUAUGCAACAUAUUCCCCAAAUCUUGCAUGGGAUUCGACACCUGUGAGUGGACUGUUCAGAUGACCAAAGAGAAUUGAAAGCUUUUUAUUAUUCUUUAUUAUUAGUGAAAUGUGUAACAGCAAAAAAAAUCCACAAUGUAAGAGAAUUGUAUCAAACCUGUGUCUCUGGAUCAGUCUGUGAACCUUACACAUUAUACAGCAAAUAGUUAAUGAGGUAUUUAAAGCCAAUAUACGGCGUUUAGUUUGGUAUUUAAGCCAUAUCAUUGAGAUGUGCUGUCCAGAAGAGGGCGCUACAGGCCAUAAAAGUGCCCCUGGACCUUUAUAACGCUAACAGGAAAUAAAAGAGGAGACAUCUGGAACAUAUUCUAAUUAAAUGAUGUCAUCAUUUCAAAUCAUCUCACCAGCAAAUGUCUUAUGGUGUCUUAUUUGUAUCUGCCUUACAAAAAUGUGUUAAAUAGCCUGCUGUUUUCUGCAGUACGAAAGCUGACAUGGAGUAAUACCAGAAGAAAUAUAGCUAUAGAAUAUUUGCACAGUUGAGUACAGUGACUUCAGUCUUGA